This 524-nucleotide ribosomal RNA is filed under the name uncultured bacterium. RNAcentral describes it as "partial 16S ribosomal RNA". It matches the Rfam family "Bacterial small subunit ribosomal RNA", at positions 28 to 523 of the family's 1533-position model. The record is from RNAcentral.
GACGAACGCUGGCGGCGUGCCUAAUACAUGCAAGUCGUACGCUUCUUUUUCCACCGGAGCUUGCUCCACCGGAAAAAGAGGAGUGGCGAACGGGUGAGUAACACGUGGGUAACCUGCCCAUCAGAAGGGGAUAACGCUUGGAAACAGGUGCUAAUACCGUAUAACAAUCGAAACCGCAUGGUUUUGAUUUGAAAGGCGCUUUCGGGUGUCGCUGAUGGAUGGACCCGCGGUGCAUUAGCUAGUUGGUGAGGUAACGGCUCACCAAGGCCACGAUGCAUAGCCGACCUGAGAGGGUGAUCGGCCACAGUGGGACUUAGACACGGCCCAAACUCCUACGGGAGGCAGCAGUAGGGAAUCUUCGGCAAUGGACGAAAGUCUGACCGAGCAACGCCGCGUGAGUGAAGAAGGUUUUCGGAUCGUAAAACUCUGUUGUUGGAGAAGAACAAGGAUGAGAGUAACUGUUCAUCCCUUGACGGUAUCUAACCAGAAAGCCACGGCUAACUACGUGCCAGCAGCCGCCGUAA